This 426-nucleotide ribosomal RNA is filed under the name uncultured bacterium. RNAcentral's name for it is "partial 16S ribosomal RNA". It matches the Rfam family "Bacterial small subunit ribosomal RNA", at positions 354 to 796 of the family's 1533-position model. The record is from RNAcentral.
GUGGGGAAUAUUGCACAAUGGGGGAAACCCUGAUGCAGCGACGCCGCGUGAGCGAAGAAGUAUUUCGGUAUGUAAAGCUCUAUCAGCAGGGAAGAAGAAUGACGGUACCUGACUAAGAAGCACCGGCUAAAUACGUGCCAGCAGCCGCGGUAAUACGUAUGGUGCAAGCGUUAUCCGGAUUUACUGGGUGUAAAGGGAGCGCAGGCGGUGCGGCAAGUCUGAUGUGAAAGCCCGGGGCUCAACCCCGGUACUGCAUUGGAAACUGUCGUACUAGAGUGUCGGAGGGGUAAGUGGAAUUCCUAGUGUAGCGGUGAAAUGCGUAGAUAUUAGGAGGAACACCAGUGGCGAAGGCGGCUUACUGGACGAUAACUGACGCUGAGGCUCGAAAGCGUGGGGAGCAAACAGGAUUAGAAACCCGAGUAGUCC